This is a non-coding RNA of Paramuricea clavata, 322 nucleotides long. The record is from the annotation of a GenBank genome assembly. Lineage: Eukaryota; Metazoa; Cnidaria; Anthozoa; Malacalcyonacea; Plexauridae.
UUGUCCAAAAAUUUGCAUAUAAAUAGUGAAUUUUCCAUUUUUAAAAAAACUGUAUUGAGCCACAUUAAAAGUUAUAUACAUGUGGUUUUAUGGUUUAAAAUGCGAGAGGUUUCUUCAUGUAUGUAUUUCUAUGUAGUAAAUAUUUAAAAGCGUGCAGCUGGAUAGCCAGCGUGGCCGGCUCUUUCAUAGGGCAGUAACUGGCUAGUAGCCGGGCUACGUGGCAAGGCUAUUUUGUUAAUUAAAUUUUAUGGAAACUGUAUUUGAUUUUCGGUAGUUUAUACUUUGUCACUUAAUUUAACCACUGACGAUAUAGAAGGCGCUA